Mangifera indica (mango) is the source of this 2050-nucleotide RNA transcript. RefSeq lists it as uncharacterized. NCBI's taxonomy places the organism in Eukaryota, Viridiplantae, Streptophyta, Magnoliopsida, Sapindales, Anacardiaceae. The transcript has 7 exons. The record is from RefSeq and is a predicted model, not a curated record.
GCGAAGGAGGAGAGUUUUGUUACGGCAACUCGCGGAACGUUGAACUCUAAGGCUAACUGCGAAACUAAAUCUUCAAAUCCAAUUCAUGGAUCCAAAGAUAGGCUCUUCUCGAAUGCAGCCUAACCUGACCACGUUUUGAACGGCUUGAAAUGGGUCAGGAAAAAAAAAGCCCCACGGCUGUACGCUGUACUAAAUCCUAAUCUAAGCCCAAAGCCAUGAGCGUGCACGUUUCCAAAUAGCACACCGCACUGUAGAAUAGAGUAAAGAGAUUGCAUUUAGCGCCCAAGUUUCGAAGAUACCGUUUCAUUUGAUGUUCUUUUUCUUGCUUUCCAAGUCACGAACGCCUACGCUCCUUAAUUUGAACGCUCUUCCUCACUAUUACGACGGGCGGCGAAGAGUGAGUCCAACAUAAGUUGCUCCACUCCAACGCCCACCUGUGAUAGAUGUACUGAGGAUUGAAAAAUGGACCAGACUAUGGGGCAAUUCCAGCAAAGUUUGAUUGAGCUUGAAACUGAGGCUGAGCAUCUUCUUUUAGCCAGACAUCAGUUAGUUGAAAAUGAUAAAGUGAGGAAUGGGAAUAGGGAAGCACUAACAGCUCUGAGGAAGAGGGCUAGGACAACAAGAACUAGUAUUCCAUCUCCUUUUGAGUCAAUAAUGAAAGAUAUGGGGCAUCCUGGACCGAGGCCUUUGGUGAAGGAGGUAUGCACAACCUGCGGUGACCAUGACACAAAUGAGCACACAUGGAUGAUGUUCCCUGGAACUGAUGUCUUUGCUAGAAUUCCAUUUCAUGCUGCUCAUACUAUUUUGGAGACAGAUCAAACACAACUUGAUUAUGAUGCAAAAAAGUUGCAAAGCUAUGUGAAGGAGAAAUCUUUUCAUAUCUCAGAAAAGGGUGCCCUAGCUGACAAGAUCAGUCCUGGUGUGCUCAGAUCGCUAGUAACCUUGUCAGACAAACCAAAAGCACAGCAAUAGCUUAAAAAACUCUGGCUGAAGAUGCACAGAUUUUGACUUAAGAAUCUCAGGAUGCAAGUUCCAUUUCUUUGUUAAGACGAUUGUGCUUUCAUGGUGAAGGCUUCAAAUAAUGGUGAACUAGUAUGCAUGGACAAACCGAAAUGCCCAGAAUUGCUAGCGACUUAGGGAAAUAGAUUGCAUGAUGAAUGGACAGGGGAUGAGAAGCUGGGUGGAGUGCUGUAUGCUUUUGAGAUAACAUAGUUUUACAUCUUACCCGUCUGGGUGAUGCGAUGUUGACAAGGCAGAAAGAAGACGUUAAAACGGUCUGUCUGGCCCAAUUUCCCCCUUGUAUUUAUUUCACCUUGCUGAACAAUAAUUUCUUCCCACUAAUUAUUACUCUUUCUUUCGUACUCUAAAUAAAAAUGUAGCGGCUUCCUCUCAACUCAACCGAAACUGGGCAGGCAUUUCACGGGUACCACCUCAAAUUCGACAUUCCGUACAGGAGAGUCAACGUCCAUGGCAGCCUUUCACCAAAUGCCACCAGACUUGCGCUGUACUCAUCUCCUCUCUGUUUUAUUUUGUAUUUAUUGACUCAGUCUCUCCUCUGCUUUAUUUGUUCACACAGCAAUUUACACGCUUCGCUGUAUACAAUUUCUCAUAUUCGCUGUACUUGUCUUCCACCUGUUACCAUCGAUCGGGAUUUUUGUAAACAGGGCUGUUCAAUUCAACUGGCCAUGGAUUGGAAAUUAAGUGUUGAGAGUACAUAAAUUGGAGGCCUCAUCUCAGCAACAAGAAGCCAGCCACUUGCAAUAAUUUUUCAGCAUAAUACAUCGUACGCUAAAGAUUUGAUCGUCUUACCCCCUGUCUUCUUUUUAAUUUUUUGCCCCUUGCUUUCUACUAUAAUUACACUAAUUGCCCCUCUCAUCAUUCAUUUGCUGCCCAAUUCUGAACCCAUUGGCCAUUGUGUAUUGUUUUUCACUAUACGGAGGGGUGGAUCCUCCUUCAGUGACAUGGGUGUCCUUGGAUAUUAUUGAUUAUCCUUGAAGAGGACUGAACUUAUAGAUUUGAAUUUGAGUUCAAAUUUAAAUUAAUUUUUAUU